AACGAACGCUGGCGGCAUGCCUAAUACAUGCAAGUCGAACGAACACUUCGGUGUUAGUGGCGCACGGGUGCGUAACGCGUGGGAAUCUACCCUUGGGUUCGGAAUAACUUCGGGAAACUGAAGCUAAUACCGGAUGAUGACGUAAGUCCAAAGAUUUAUCGCCCAGGGAUGAGCCCGCGUAGGAUUAGCUAGUUGGUGGGGUAAAGGCUCACCAAGGCUACGAUCCUUAGCUGGUCUGAGAGGAUGAUCAGCCACACUGGGACUGAGACACGGCCCAGACUCCUACGGGAGGCAGCAGUAGGGAAUAUUGGGCAAUGGGCGAAAGCCUGAUCCAGCAAUGCCGCGUGAGCGAUGAAGGCCUUAGGGUUGUAAAGCUCUUUUACCCGAGAUGAUAAUGACAGUAUCGGGAGAAUAAGCCCCGGCUAACUCCGUGCCAGCAGCCGCCGUAA
This 449-nucleotide ribosomal RNA is filed under the name uncultured bacterium. Its description in RNAcentral is "partial 16S ribosomal RNA". It matches the Rfam family "Bacterial small subunit ribosomal RNA", at positions 29 to 523 of the family's 1533-position model. The record is from RNAcentral.